AUUGAACGCUGGCGGCAGGCCUAACACAUGCAAGUCGAGCGGCAGCGGAAAGUAGCUUGCUACUUUGCCGGCGAGCGGCGGACGGGUGAGUAAUGUCUGGGAAACUGCCUGAUGGAGGGGGAUAACUACUGGAAACGGUAGCUAAUACCGCAUGACCUCGAAAGAGCAAAGUGGGGGAUCUUCGGACCUCACGCCAUCGGAUGUGCCCAGAUGGGAUUAGCUAGUAGGUGAGGUAAUGGCUCACCUAGGCGACGAUCCCUAGCUGGUCUGAGAGGAUGACCAGCCACACUGGAACUGAGACACGGUCCAGACUCCUACGGGAGGCAGCAGUGGGGAAUAUUGCACAAUGGGCGCAAGCCUGAUGCAGCCAUGCCGCGUGUGUCAAGAAGGCCUUAGGGUUGUAAAGACUUUCAGCGAGGAGGAAGGCACCAUACUUACGACGGGUGGUGAUUGA
This 454-nucleotide ribosomal RNA is filed under the name uncultured Enterobacteriaceae bacterium. RNAcentral describes it as "bacterial SSU rRNA". It matches the Rfam family "Bacterial small subunit ribosomal RNA", at positions 30 to 476 of the family's 1533-position model. Lineage: Bacteria; Pseudomonadati; Pseudomonadota; Gammaproteobacteria; Enterobacterales; Enterobacteriaceae. The record is from RNAcentral.